Molecule: ribosomal RNA, 1372 nt
Filed under: uncultured bacterium
Lineage: Bacteria
Description: bacterial SSU rRNA
Rfam family: Bacterial small subunit ribosomal RNA
Source: RNAcentral
GAUGAACGCUGGCGGCGUGCCUAAUACAUGCAAGUCGAGCGAACGGACGAGAAGCUUGCUUCUCUGAUGUUAGCGGCGGACGGGUGAGUAACACGUGGAUAACCUACCUAUAAGACUGGGAUAACUUCGGGAAACCGGAGCUAAUACCGGAUAAUAUUUUGAACCGCAUGGUUCAAAGGUGAAAGACGGUCUUGCUGUCACUUAUAGAUGGAUCCGCGCUGCAUUAGCUAGUUGGUAAGGUAACGGCUUACCAAGGCAACGAUGCAUAGCCGACCUGAGAGGGUGAUCGGCCACACUGGAACUGAGACACGGUCCAGACUCCUACGGGAGGCAGCAGUAGGGAAUCUUCCGCAAUGGGCGAAAGCCUGACGGAGCAACGCCGCGUGAGUGAUGAAGGUCUUCGGAUCGUAAAACUCUGUUAUUAGGGAAGAACAUAUGUGUAAGUAACUGUGCACAUCUUGACGGUACCUAAUCAGAAAGCCACGGCUAACUACGUGCCAGCAGCCGCGGUAAUACGUAGGUGGCAAGCGUUAUCCGGAAUUAUUGGGCGUAAAGCGCGCGUAGGCGGCUUUUUAAGUCUGAUGUGAAAGCCCACGGCUCAACCGUGGAGGGUCAUUGGAAACUGGAAAACUUGAGUGCAGAAGAGGAAAGUGGAAUUCCAUGUGUAGCGGUGAAAUGCGCAGAGAUAUGGAGGAACACCAGUGGCGAAGGCGACUUUCUGGUCUGUAACUGACGCUGAUGUGCGAAAGCGUGGGGAUCAAACAGGAUUAGAUACCCUGGUAGUCCACGCCGUAAACGAUGAGUGCUAAGUGUUAGGGGGUUUCCGCCCCUUAGUGCUGCAGCUAACGCAUUAAGCACUCCGCCUGGGGAGUACGACCGCAAGGUUGAAACUCAAAGGAAUUGACGGGGACCCGCACAAGCGGUGGAGCAUGUGGUUUAAUUCGAAGCAACGCGAAGAACCUUACCAAAUCUUGACAUCCUUUGACAACUCUAGAGAUAGAGCUUUCCCCUUCGGGGGACAAAGUGACAGGUGGUGCAUGGUUGUCGUCAGCUCGUGUCGUGAGAUGUUGGGUUAAGUCCCGCAACGAGCGCAACCCUCAAGCUUAGUUGCCAUCAUUAAGUUGGGCACUCUAAGUUGACUGCCGGUGACAAACCGGAGGAAGGUGGGGAUGACGUCAAAUCAUCAUGCCCCUUAUGAUUUGGGCUACACACGUGCUACAAUGGACAAUACAAAGGGCAGCGAAACCGCGAGGUCAAGCAAAUCCCAUAAAGUUGUUCUCAGUUCGGAUUGUAGUCUGCAACUCGACUACAUGAAGCUGGAAUCGCUAGUAAUCGUAGAUCAGCAUGCUACGGUGAAUACGUUCCCGGGUCU